UACGUAGGGGGCAAGCGUUGUCCGGAAUUACUGGGCGUAAAGGGCUCGUAGGUGGCCAACUAAGUCAGACGUGAAAUCCCUCAGCUUAACUGGGGAACUGCGUCUGAUACUGGCGAGCUUGAGUGCAGGAGAGGAACGCGGAAUUCCAGGUGUAGCGGUGAAAUGCGUAGAUAUCUGGAGGAACACCGGUGGCGAAGGCGGCGUUCUGGACUGCAACUGACACUGAAGAACGAAAGCCAGGGGAGCAAACGGG
This 253-nucleotide ribosomal RNA is filed under the name uncultured bacterium. RNAcentral describes it as "partial 16S ribosomal RNA". It matches the Rfam family "Bacterial small subunit ribosomal RNA", at positions 524 to 776 of the family's 1533-position model. The record is from RNAcentral.